Molecule: ribosomal RNA, 499 nt
Filed under: uncultured Glomeromycotina
Lineage: Eukaryota; Fungi; Glomeromycota
Description: partial small subunit ribosomal RNA
Rfam family: Eukaryotic small subunit ribosomal RNA
Source: RNAcentral
CCAAUAGCGUAUAUUAAAGUUGUUGCAGUUAAAAAGCUCGUAGUUGAAUUUCGGGAUCAGUUGGUCGGUCGUGCCUCGGUACGUACUGGUCAAAUUGAUUCCUACCUUCUGACGAACCACGAUGUCAUUAAUUUGGUGUCGUGGGAAAUCAGGACUGUUACUUUGAAAAAAUUAGAGUGUUUAAAGCAGGCUCGCGCUUGAAUACAUUAGCAUGGAAUAAUGAAAUAGGACGUUUGAUUCUAUUUUGUUGGUUUCUAGGAUCGACGUAAUGAUUAAUAGGGAUAGUUGGGGGCAUUAGUAUUCAAUUGUCAGAGGUGAAAUUCUUGGAUUUAUUGAAGACUAACUACUGCGAAAGCAUUUGCCAAGGAUGUUUUCAUUAAUCAAGAACGAAAGUUAGGGGAUCGAAGACGAUCAGAUACCGUCGUAGUCUUAACCAUAAACUAUGCCGACUAGGGAUCGGAUGAUGUUAAUUUUUUAAUGACUCAUUCGGCGCCUUACG